This 407-nucleotide ribosomal RNA is filed under the name uncultured bacterium. RNAcentral describes it as "partial 16S ribosomal RNA". It matches the Rfam family "Bacterial small subunit ribosomal RNA", at positions 28 to 526 of the family's 1533-position model. The record is from RNAcentral.
GACGAACGCUGGCGGCGCGCCUAACACAUGCAAGUCGAGCGAAGGGGCGGACGGGUGAGUAACACGUGAGUAACCUGACUUUUACACAGGGAUAGCAUCGGAAAACCGGGAUUAAAACCUGAUGUUAAAAGAUGGACUCGCGUCACAUUAGCUAGUCGGUGAGGUAACGGCCCACCAAGGCAACGAUGGGUAGCCGGGCUGGGAGGGUGAACGGCGACAUUGGAAGUGAGCAACGGUCCCAACUCUACGGGAGGCAGCAGAGGGGAAUAUUGCACGAUGGGGUAAACCCUGAUGCAGCGACGCCGCGUGAGCGAAGAAGGCCUUCGGGUCGUAAAGCUCUUUUAUAUGUGAAGCGGUACCAUAAGAAAAAGCCCCGGCUAACUACGUGCCAGCAGCCGCGGUAAUUC